Molecule: unclassified non-coding RNA, 336 nt
Filed under: soil metagenome
Description: partial contains 5.8S ribosomal RNA, internal transcribed spacer 2, and large subunit ribosomal RNA
Rfam family: 5.8S ribosomal RNA (bases 1-120)
Source: RNAcentral
GAUGAAGAACGUAUCGAAAUGCGAUAAGUAAUGUGAAUUGCAGAAUUCCGUGAAUCAUCGAAUCUUUGAACGCACAUUGCGCCCCCUGGUAUUCCGGGGGGCAUGCCUGUCCGAGCGUCAUUGCAACCUUCAAGCGCGGCUUGUGUGUUGGGUCUCGUCCCCCGUGGACGGGCCCGAAAGGCAGUGGCGGCGUCCCGACAUGGUGCCCGAGCGUAUGGGAAUCCUCUUCCGCUCGAAUCGGCCCAUGCGGCGCUGGUCGUAACCAAAUUUUUUACCGGUUGACCUCGGAUCAGGUAGGGAUACCCGCUGAACUUAAGCAUAUCAAUAAGCGGAGGA